GCCGCGGUGGCGGAACUGGGAUACGCGGUCGACUUAAAAUCGACUCCCGAAAGGGGUGUGGGUUCGACUCCCACCCGCGGCA
RNAcentral lists this transfer RNA (82 nucleotides) under Candidatus Sungbacteria bacterium RIFCSPLOWO2_02_FULL_48_13b. RNAcentral describes it as "tRNA-Leu". It matches the Rfam family "tRNA". From Rfam's summary of the family: Transfer RNA (tRNA) molecules are approximately 80 nucleotides in length. Lineage: Bacteria; Candidatus Sungiibacteriota. The record is from RNAcentral.